UUUUCUCGGGGGUUUAUUUUUUCUUACUUACCAAUCAGAAAAAUUGACCCGGCGGGGGAGGAGGGGAAUAUGACAAUAAGAGGGAAGCCCUUAUAGUUUUUUAUUAACCCACCCCAAAGAAUUGUUAUAUUAAACCGACCGGGAUAGCAUCCCUCUACCAUGGGCGGACAUUGGGGUGGCCUCGGAGAAUAAAACAACCUCCGAGUGAUUUAAAUCUAGACUAACUAGUCGAAAGUACUACAUCACUUAUUGAUCCAAAAACUUGAUCAACGGAACAAGUUACCCUAGGGAUAACAGGACGGCACGAUGGGCUUUUCUGUCUCUUACUUCCAAUSCGUGAAAUUGACCUUCCCGUGAAGAGGCGGGAAUAUGACAAUAAGACGAGAAGACCCUAUGGAGCUUUAAUUAACCGACCCAAAGAGAUCUUGAUAAUCAACCGACAGGGAUAACAUACCUCUACCAUGGGCCGACAAUUUAGGUUGGGGUGACCUCGGAGAAUAAAACAACCUCCGAGUGAUUUAAAUCUAGACUAACUAGUCGAAAGUACUACAUCACUUAUUGAUCCAAAAACUUGAUCAACGGAACAAGUUACCCUAGGGAUAACAGCGCAAUSCUAUUUUAGAGUCCAUAUCGACAAUAGGAU
RNAcentral lists this ribosomal RNA (643 nucleotides) under Panthera onca (jaguar). Its description in RNAcentral is "partial 16S ribosomal RNA". Lineage: Eukaryota; Metazoa; Chordata; Mammalia; Carnivora; Felidae. The record is from RNAcentral.